RNAcentral lists this long non-coding RNA (1082 nucleotides) under Anas platyrhynchos platyrhynchos (common mallard). RNAcentral's name for it is "lncRNA (ENSAPLG00000018686.1)". The record is from RNAcentral. Lineage: Eukaryota; Metazoa; Chordata; Aves; Anseriformes; Anatidae.
CUCGAAGUCCAGGUAGAGCAGGAAGGCGUCGAGGAAUUCCCGCAGCGCUUCCCGGGGCACCCCGGGGGGGCUCGGGGACGGCUCCGGGGUGGGGACCCUCAGGUUGAGGCGGUGCCGGGGGUGGUAACGGGGCGGUAAACCGAGGCGGCGGGAGGGCGGCCGGUCCUUGUCAUCAUCAUCAUCAUCAUCAUCAUCAUCAUCAUCAUCGUCGUCCCGUGAUGGUUCCCGCUCCGGGCGGCGGCUCUGGAAGCGGCGCAGGCGCUCGAAGAAGGCCCAGAAGCUGCGGGUGUCCUCGGGGCAGGCCCGGCGGGGGAAGCAGAGCUCCUCCAGCCUGCGCCGAGCCACCGGGCAGGCCCAGUCCCACCGGGACGGCCGCGGGGCUGCAGCACCGGGAGCCGGGCCCGGCUCCGGUUCCAUCACCGGGACCGAAGCCUCCGGGCCUCAGGGCCUGGGCCUGGUUCUCUGAGGCCUCAGCCAAGCCAGGGCCCGGUCCCGGCACCCCCAAGGCCUCGCUCCCGGUCCCGGUCCCGGUCCCGGUCCCAGCCCCUCCAGGCCCGGUCUCGGCCCCCCCAGGCCCCGCUCCCGGUCCCGGUCCCGGUUCCGGUUCCGGUCCCGGUUCCGGUUUCCGGUUCCGGUUCCGGUUCCGGUUCCGGUCCCGGCCCCUCCAGGCCGCACGGGGGCGCCCGAGCCCCGCCGCGGAGGGAGGAAGGGGGCGUGGCCACGAGCGGGGGGCGUGGCUUGGAGGAGGGGGGCGUGGUUAUUGGAGAGGGGGCGUGGUCAUGUGGGAAAGGGGCGGGGCGAUGAGGGAGGGGGCGGGGCGAGGAGGGAGGGGGCGGGGCUUCUCGGCCGCGGGUGGCAGCGAGAGCGGCGCUGUCCCCAAAUGUCCCCAAAUGUCCCCAAAUGUCCCCAAAUGUCCCCAAAUGUCCCCAAAUAUCCUCAAAUGUCCCCAUUGUCCCCAAACCACCCCCAUUCCCCAAAUGUCCCCAAAUAUCCCCAAAUAUCCCCAAAUGUCCCCAUUGUCCCCAGUUGUCCCCAACUGUCCCCAUUGUCCCCCAGCCACCCCCAUUCCCCAAAUGUCCCCA